GGGGGUGAAAGGCCAAUCAAACCGGGAGAUAGCUGGUUCUCCCCGAAAGCUAUUUAGGUAGCGCCUCGUGAAUUCAUCUCCGGGGGUAGAGCACUGUUUCGGCUAGGGGGCCAUCCCGGCUUACCAACCCGAUGCAAACUGCGAAUACCGGAGAAUGUUAUCACGGGAGACACACGGCGGGUGCUAACGUCCGUCGUGAAGAGGGAAACAACCCAGACCGCCAGCUAAGGUCCCAAAGUCAUGGUUAAGUGGGAAACGAUGUGGGAAGGCCCAGACAGCCAGGAUGUUGGCUUAGAAGCAGCCAUCAUUUAAAGAAAGCGUAAUAGCUCACUGGUCGAGUCGGCCUGCGCGGAAGAUGUAACGGGGCUAAACCAUGCACCGAAGCUGCGGCAGCGAACGUAUCACCCAAGACAACUUUACGGAGUUGACGAUUGACGGAGCGAAGCGACGUCAAAGCGUUCAUUAAAGUCGAGUUGGCUUAGGGAUACGUUCGUUGGGUAGGGGAGCGUUCUGUAAGCCUGUGAAGGUGUGUCGUGAGGCAUGCUGGAGGUAUCAGAAGUGCGAAUGCUGACAUAAGUAACGAUAAAGCGGGUGAAAAGCCCGCUCGCCGGAAGACCAAGGGUUCCUGUCCAACGUUAAUCGGGGCAGGGUGAGUCGACCCCUAAGGCGAGGCCGAAAGGCGUAGUCGAUGGGAAACGGGUUAAUAUUCCCGUACUUGGUGUUACUGCGAAGGGGGGACGGAGAAGGCUAUGUUGGCCGGGCGACGGUUGUCCCGGUUUAAGCGUGUAGGUGUGUGUUCCAGGUAAAUCCGGUUCACUUUAACACUGAGGCGUGACGACGAGGCACUACGGUGCUGAAGCAACAAAUGCCCUGCUUCCAGGAAAAGCCUCUAAGCAUCAGGUAACAUCAAAUCGUACCCCAAACCGACACAGGUGGUCAGGUAGAGAAUACCAAGGCGCUUGAGAGAACUCGGGUGAAGGAACUAGGCAAAAUGGUGCCGUAACUUCGGGAGAAGGCACGCUGACACGUAGGUGAAGUGAUUUACUCAUGGAGCUGAAGUCAGUCGAAGAUACCAGCUGGCUGCAACUGUUUAUUAAAAACACAGCACUGUGCAAACACGAAAGUGGACGUAUACGGUGUGACGCCUGCCCGGUGCCGGAAGGUUAAUUGAUGGGGUCAGCGCAAGCGAAGCUCCUGAUCGAAGCCCCGGUAAACGGCGGCCGUAACUAUAACGGUCCUAAGGUAGCGAAAUUCCUUGUCGGGUAAGUUCCGACCUGCACGAAUGGCGUAAUGAUGGCCAGGCUGUCUCCACCCGAGACUCAGUGAAAUUGAACUCGCUGUGAAGAUGCAGUGUACCCGCGGCAAGACGGAAAGACCCCGUGAACCUUUACUAUAGCUUGACACUGAACAUUGAGCCUUGAUGUGUAGGAUAGGUGGGAGGCUUUGAAGUGUGGACGCCAGUCUGCAUGGAGCCGACCUUGAAAUACCACCCUUUAAUGUUUGAUGUUCUAACGUGGACCCGUAAUCCGGGUUGCGGACAGUGUCUGGUGGGUAGUUUGACUGGGGCGGUCUCCUCCUAAAGAGUAACGGAGGAGCACGAAGGUUGGCUAAUCCUGGUCGGACAUCAGGAGGUUAGUGCAAUGGCAUAAGCCAGCUUGACUGCGAGCGUGACGGCGCGAGCAGGUGCGAAAG
This 1692-nucleotide ribosomal RNA is filed under the name Salmonella enterica subsp. enterica serovar Typhimurium. RNAcentral's name for it is "partial 23S ribosomal RNA". It matches the Rfam family "Bacterial large subunit ribosomal RNA", at positions 817 to 2405 of the family's 2925-position model. Lineage: Bacteria; Pseudomonadati; Pseudomonadota; Gammaproteobacteria; Enterobacterales; Enterobacteriaceae. The record is from RNAcentral.